GAUGAACGCUGGCGGCGUGCCUAAUACAUGCGAGUCGAGCGAACGGACGAGAAGCUUGCUUCUCUGAUGUUAGCGGCGGACGGGUGAGUAACACGUGGAUAACCUACCUAUAAGACUGGGAUAACUUCGGGAAACCGGAGCUGAUACCGGAUAAUAUUUUGAACCGCAUGGUUCAAAAGUGAAAGACGGUCUUGCUGUCACUUAUAGAUGGAUCCGCGCUGCAUUAGCUAGUUGGUAAGGUAACGGCUUACCAAGGCAACGAUGCAUAGCCGACCUGAGAGGGUGAUCGGCCACACUGGAACUGAGACACGGUCCAGACUCCUACGGGAGGCAGCAGUAGGGAAUCUUCCGCAAUGGGCGAAAGCCUGACGGAGCAACGCCGCGUGAGUGAUGAAGGUCUUCGGAUCGUAAAACUCUGUUAUUAGGGAAGAACAUAUGUGUAAGUAACUGUGCACAUCUUGACGGUACCUAAUCAGAAAGCCACGGCUAACUACGUG
Molecule: ribosomal RNA, 497 nt
Filed under: uncultured bacterium
Lineage: Bacteria
Description: partial 16S ribosomal RNA
Rfam family: Bacterial small subunit ribosomal RNA
Source: RNAcentral